AUAUCAAUCAAUGUAGGUUUGCAACUGUAAACCUUCCUGUAUGCCAAGGACGUGUCCAGGUGCCAGGCAAAGAGGACCUUCUGUUACACUGAACAGGGGGAAGAUAAAACAGAAAAGGAUGCUGUUCUUGAUAUUGUCAGUGGAGAAGUCCAGUCUGGGGCCAAAACCACAAAAGUGAAGCCUUACAAAACCAGAAAACCAAGCAGAAAGAUCUUCAGCUGAUAAUGCCCUCUUUCCUCAGUAUGCAGACAGCAUUUUCCUUGAUAGAUGUAUGCAUUCCUGUGGAAAAGACUCCACCAUUCUGCUGACAUCUGAUGCUUGACAGGCUCUGGACAGAUGGAAAAAAUUGAGGAAUCAAACCAGAACAAGUUGCACUGGGACUAUUAUGUGCAAAGAAGCAAGCUCUGCACUGAGAAGGUAACAAAGGAGCAGGCCAAAUACUAGAAGGACGGGAGGACAGACCCUGUCACGCUGCUGCCACUCGUGUUGCUUUCGCUGCGCUCAACCCUUCUGUCUUCAUGUCACCAUGUGGUA
This 534-nucleotide long non-coding RNA is filed under the name Gallus gallus (chicken). Lineage: Eukaryota; Metazoa; Chordata; Aves; Galliformes; Phasianidae. The record is from RNAcentral.